Molecule: ribosomal RNA, 468 nt
Filed under: uncultured bacterium
Lineage: Bacteria
Description: partial 16S ribosomal RNA
Rfam family: Bacterial small subunit ribosomal RNA
Source: RNAcentral
GACGAACGCUGGCGGCGUGCUUAACACAUGCAAGUCGAACGGAAAGGCCCUGCUUGUGUGGGGUGAUCGAGUGGCGAAAGGGUGCGUAACACGUGUGUAACCUGCUCUAGACUUUGGGAUAACUUCAGGAAACUGGGGCUAAUACCGGAUAGGAGCCCCUGCUGCAUGGUGGGGGUUGGAAAGUUUCGGCGGUUGGGGAUGGAUUGGCGGCUUAUCAGCUUGUUGGUUGGGUAGUGGCUGACCAAGGCUUUGGCGGGUAGCCGGCAUGAGAGGGUGGCCGGCCACAAUGGGACUGAGAUACGGCCCAGACUCCUACGGGAGGCAGCAGGGGGGAAUAUUGCACAGUGGGCGGAAGCCUGAUGCAGCAACGCCGGGGUCGGGAUGACGGCCUUCGGGUUGUAAACCGCUUUCGCUUGUGACGAAGCGUGAGUGACGGUAAUGGGUAAAGAAGCACCGGCUAACUACGUG